RNAcentral lists this unclassified non-coding RNA (339 nucleotides) under soil metagenome. RNAcentral describes it as "partial contains 5.8S ribosomal RNA, internal transcribed spacer 2, and large subunit ribosomal RNA". The stretch from base 1 to 120 matches the Rfam family "5.8S ribosomal RNA", at positions 35 to 154 of the family's 154-position model. The record is from RNAcentral.
GAUGAAGAACGCAGCGAAAUGCGAUACGUAGUGUGAAUUGCAGAAUUCAGUGAAUCAUCGAAUCUUUGGACGCACAUUGCACCUCUCGGUAUUCCGGGAGGUAUGCCUGUUCGAGCGUCAUUUGUACCCUCAAGCUCUGCUUGGUGUUGGGUGUUUGUUCCGCCUCUGUGUGUGAACUCGCCUCAAAACAAUUGGCAGCCGGCGUACUUGUUUCGGAGCGCAGCACAUUUUGCGAUCCAGAUCAACGUACAGCGGCAUCCAAGAAGCCUUAUUUAACGCUCUUGACCUCGGAUCAGGUAGGGAUACCCGCUGAACUUAAGCAUAUCAAUAAGCGGAGGA